RNAcentral lists this ribosomal RNA (459 nucleotides) under uncultured bacterium. Its description in RNAcentral is "partial 16S ribosomal RNA". It matches the Rfam family "Bacterial small subunit ribosomal RNA", at positions 338 to 795 of the family's 1533-position model. The record is from RNAcentral.
CCUACGGGCGGCAGCAGUGAGGAAUAUUGGUCAAUGGUCGGGAGACUGAACCAGCCAAGCCGCGUGAGGGAUGAAGGUACAGAGUAUCGUAAACCUCUUUUGUCAGGGAACAAAGGCGGGGACGUGUCCCCGGAUGAGUGUACCUGAAGAAAAAGCAUCGGCUAACUCCGUGCCAGCAGCCGCGGUAAUACGGAGGAUGCGAGCGUUAUCCGGAUUUAUGGGGGUUAAGGGGUGCGAAGGCGGUCUGUUAGGUCAGCGGUCAAAGCCCGGGGCUCAACCCCGGCCCGCCGUUGAAACUGGCAGUCUCGAGUUGGAGAGAAGUAUGCGGAAUGCGCGGUGUAGCGGUGAAAUGCAUAGAUAUCGCGCAGAACUCCGAUUGCGAAGGCAGCAUGCCGGCUCCACACUGACGCUGAGGCACGAAAGCGUGGGUAUCGAACAGGAUUAGAUACCCCGGUAGUC